GUCUUCUUGUUAUAUUUAGGAAGUCUGGCCUGCCCAGUGAAAUAAUUUAACGGCCGCGGUAUACUGACCGUGCAAAGGUAGCAUAAUCAUUAGUCUUUUAAUAGAGGGCUGGUAUGAAGGGUUUAACGAGGUGUUGACUGUCUCAUUUAAUUUGAAUAUUAGAAUUUAAUUUUUUAGUUAAAAAGCUAAAAUAUUGUUGGAAGACGAGAAGACCCUAUAGAGCUUUAUAUUUUUAUUAUUAAUUUAUCAUAGAUUAUUAUUAUUUAUUAUUAAUAAAAAGUAUUUUGUUGGGGUGACAAAAAUAUAUAAAUAACUUUUUUAUUUUAUUUACAUUGAUAUAUGAAUAUUAGAUCCAAUCUUAUUGAUUGUUAGAUUAAGUUACCUUAGGGAUAACAGCGUAAUCCCUCUCCAGAGUUCAUAUUUACAGAGGGGCUUGCGACCUCGAUGUUGGAUUAAGAUAAUAAUUAGGUGCAGCCGCUUAAUUAAUAGGUCUGUUCGACCUUUAAAUUCUU
This 512-nucleotide ribosomal RNA is filed under the name Planaeschna sp. 3 RF-2021. RNAcentral describes it as "partial 16S rRNA". It matches the Rfam family "Bacterial large subunit ribosomal RNA", at positions 1830 to 2597 of the family's 2925-position model. The record is from RNAcentral. Lineage: Eukaryota; Metazoa; Arthropoda; Insecta; Odonata; Aeshnidae. RNAcentral also lists the same sequence under 3 other names.